This 577-nucleotide ribosomal RNA is filed under the name Fallicambarus strawni. RNAcentral describes it as "eukaryotic LSU rRNA". The record is from RNAcentral. Lineage: Eukaryota; Metazoa; Arthropoda; Malacostraca; Decapoda; Cambaridae.
GGGGACGUAACAAAGCGACCCAGGAAUGCUUGGGCGUGCCUCCACCCACGCCGGCGUCGGCGGGCGUAUUUCGCCUCACAGUAGGUCGCCGCGACCCGUUGCUUUUGGGGACGUCGAAGGCCCGGACGGAUUGGUACCCUACCGGCUGGGGAUGCGGCUUCGGCUUCUCCUCUUGUCCGGUGGGCGAAACCGCCGGUGUCCUGGCUGCCCUGCGACGGUCGUAGAGACGAGCCCUUCCCAUUCGUGGGAGGCGGCUCUCGCGGCGUGCAAAAGGUCGGUGAUCCACCCGACCCGUCUUGAAACACGGACCAAGGAGUCUAACAUGUGUGCGAGUCAGUGGGCGCACUAAACCCAGAGGCGUAAUGAAAGUGACACGGGUUCGGCUGUCGCCUCGUGUGGCAGCCGGACUCUGGGCCGAUCCCUCACCGGUUGCCCUCGCCUCUCUCCCGCGUCUCGGUAAGCCGGGUGAGCUAUUUUCCCCGGCCAAUGCUGCGGGGCUCGGGAGGAGGCGGGGUUGCGAUGGUGUCCGUCAAAAAGAGCCUGCUGUUGCAGGGGGGCGCAGGCCCGGGACUUGCCA